AACGAACGCUGGCGGCAGGCUUAACACAUGCAAGUCGAACGGAUCCUUCGGGAUUAGUGGCGCACGGGUGAGUAACACGUGGGAACGUACCCCUUGGUAAGGAAUAAUAUUUGGAAACGAAUACUAAUACCUUAUAAUAUCUUCGGAUCAAAGAUUUAUCGCCAAGGGAUCGGCCCGCGUCUGAUUAGGUAGUUGGUGGGGUAAUGGCCUACCAAGCCUACGAUCAGUAGCUGGUCUGAGAGGAUGAUCAGCCACACUGGGACUGAGACACGGCCCAGACUCCUACGGGAGGCAGCAGUGAGGAAUAUUGGACAAUGGGGGAAACCCUGAUCCAGCCAUGCCGCGUGAGUGAAGAAGGCCUUAGGGUUGUAAAGCUCUUUCAAUAGUGAAGAUAAUGACGGUAGCUAUAGAAGAAGCCCCGGCUAAAUUCGUGCCAGCAGCCGCGGUAA
RNAcentral lists this ribosomal RNA (449 nucleotides) under uncultured bacterium. RNAcentral's name for it is "partial 16S ribosomal RNA". It matches the Rfam family "Bacterial small subunit ribosomal RNA", at positions 29 to 523 of the family's 1533-position model. The record is from RNAcentral.